Gasterosteus aculeatus aculeatus (three-spined stickleback) is the source of this 765-nucleotide long non-coding RNA. NCBI's taxonomy places the organism in Eukaryota, Metazoa, Chordata, Actinopteri, Perciformes, Gasterosteidae. The record is from Ensembl.
GUUCACUUUCCUAUUUCUCUAAUAGCUUCCCAAGCGGAGGCCUUAAAAGAGGAGAACGGCUCUCUCUCCACUGCCAGCUGGACGCCUACAGGAACGGGGUGGAGCUCCUCAGUUCCUGUUCUCCUCAGAACAGGAACAAGGCAAGAAGCACCCAAUGAGCAGCGAGGAGGACACCACACACUCAGAGCAGCUCAGCUUCCUGCAGCAGGCCCUGCAUGCAGAAGGUCCGCGUUGGUCCCAAGACGCAAUGUACAAGGAAGGAUGAUUAAUGCAAAAUGAAUGCAGCAAACAACUACAUCCUGGUAUCGUCGAUAUGCAGCAACUUCUGAGGGAUGAGUUGAAGGAGCAAUCUGCAGAGCUUGAAAAAACUAUAUAUAGAAGACAAACAGCAAUUGAAGAACCAACUCUAUGACCUCACAACAGGACCGCACAACCUGCAGACUACACACACACACACACACACACACACACACACACAGGUCAGAAGAAAACAAGCACAUGGUUACCAGUAAAUGUUAUAUGGGAAACCUGAUGUCCUAAACAAAGAUGAAUCCUGAGGAACCCUGAUUUAUCAAUUUGUGCUCUACCAGCUUGUGUCCAUGUUUAUGACAAAAUUCUGUGGAGAAGUAGAACAGAGCAGCAGCUGGAUGGUAGGAGAGAUUAUUAGAUGAAAAUACCUCAAUCCAAAAUCUGGUUUACACUCCAAUACACUGGAUGGCUAUUGCUGAUAAGAAAUGGAAGGAAAAAAUGAAAGCUAAGAGCUAU